Molecule: ribosomal RNA, 301 nt
Filed under: uncultured bacterium
Lineage: Bacteria
Description: partial 16S ribosomal RNA
Rfam family: Bacterial small subunit ribosomal RNA
Source: RNAcentral
CAGUCGCCGCGGGAACACGGAGGGUGCAAGCGUUAUCCGGAUUUAUUGGGUUUAAAGGGUCCGUAGGCGGAUCUGUAAGUCAGUGGUGAAAUCUCACAGCUUAACUGUGAAACUGCCAUUGAUACUGCAGGUCUUGAGUAAAUUUGAAGUGGCUGGAAUAAGUAGUGUAGCGGUGAAAUGCAUAGAUAUUACUUAGAACACCAAUUGCGAAGGCAGGUCACUAAGAUUUAACUGACGCUGAUGGACGAAAGCGUGGGGAGCGAACAGGAUUAGAUACCCCAGUAGUCCCUGUCUCUUAUAC